GCAAACUUGGUCAUUUAGAGGAAGUAAAAGUCGUAACAAGGUUUCCGUAGGUGAACCUGCGGAAGGAUCAUUAUUGAAUAAACUUGUUUCCCCGUGAGUUGAGCUGGCACUGCAGGUGCUUGCUUGCGGGGAUUCAUAACCUUCAUCCACCUGUGCACCCUUUGUAGGAGUCGUAGUGAACUUGAAGGGGGAGUGGUUUCUUUCGGGAGACCGCAAGCUCUUUUGUUUCUGCUGCUUCUAUGUUUUUACAAACCCAAAAUUGAAUGUCUAGAAUGGUUUUACUUGUUGAUUUUACAUCGACAAUAAAAAGUUAAUACAACUUUCAGCAACGGAUCUCUUGGCUCUCCCAUCGAUGAAGAACGCAGC
This 366-nucleotide unclassified non-coding RNA is filed under the name uncultured fungus. RNAcentral's name for it is "partial contains small subunit ribosomal RNA, internal transcribed spacer 1, and 5.8S ribosomal RNA". The stretch from base 1 to 73 matches the Rfam family "Eukaryotic small subunit ribosomal RNA", at positions 1759 to 1831 of the family's 1831-position model. The record is from RNAcentral. Lineage: Eukaryota; Fungi.